This 979-nucleotide non-coding RNA is filed under the name Pan troglodytes (chimpanzee). Lineage: Eukaryota; Metazoa; Chordata; Mammalia; Primates; Hominidae. The record is from RNAcentral.
UCAAGUUGCCUGUGGACUUCCACUCAGACUCUCAGAGCCCUGCUGGAGGAUGGAGAGACCACAUGGGACAGAGAACGGUUAUCCCACCGAGGCCACCAUAGACCAGCCAGCCCUCAGCGUACAUGCCAGCUAAUUACAGAUGCAGGAGCAAACCCCUGGCCCAUACAUCAGAUUUUGGAAGCAUUGCCUUCUACAGAAUCCACAGUAGUCCGAAGUUCUUCUACGGUUUUUGUCAAACUUUGAUUUUCCAUCUCUAGCUUCAAUAAUCUACUUGAUGUCAACUCAUUCACCUCAUGGCCCAGGGAUUUCUGGGGUGCUAUAAUAUUGAAAAAUACACCAUUGUAUUUACUCUUUACUGUUUUUACUAUGUUUACUCUUUACUAUUUAAAAAGUUGAGUGUAUAUGCAUUGCAUCAUCUGAUCCUUAACUUUAUUAAAAAUUCAAUGAGGUUAUAUAAGAUAAACAAGAUAAAAGAAGUAAAUCUUUUUUUUCCUUUUCUUUUUUUCUUUUUUUUAAAGAGACGGGGUCUCUCUCUGUCACCCAGGCUGGAGUGCAGUGAUGUGCUCCUAGCUCACUGCAGCCUCAAACGCCUGGUCUGAAGGGAUCCUCCCACCUCAGUCUCCCAAGCGGCCGGGACUGCAGGUACAGCCAGCUAAUUUUUUUAUUUUUUAGUAAAGACUGGGUCUCUGUUACUUAGGCUGGUCUCGAACUCCUGAGCUCAAGCAAUCCUCCUGCCUUGGCCUCCCAAAGUGCUGGGAUUACAGGCAUUAGCCGCUGCAACCAGCUAAGAGAUACAUGUUUAACUUUUAAUGCAUCCACAGCAUUCUAGUUAAAAAAAAGCAUAAAGUUUAGAUUGAAGAAAUUGGAGUUCAAGCAGACCCAUUAAAUAUUUUGCUGAUAUGAGAACAUUAGGAUUUACAAAUGAAAUAUGAGACCUACUAUUUCAAGAAAGGAAAUGAAUAAAGGUACUGGAGAGAAU